CGGCCGGUGCCGUCCAUCCGGAAAGGCAAGGGGGUCUGCGUCCGUGCGGCCGCGUCCCUGGGCCGCCAUCAGGAGGCCGGGCCCACCUGCGAGGUUCCCCAAGCGCCCACGGCCCGCCUGCAGGCUCCCGAAGGCCCACCCGGGGCCCCGGGGCCCCGGCUCCCCCUCCCCCCCGCCGCGCCGCAGCCGGACCACAGCGCCCUGCAAGCCCGGGUGGCGGCGGCCUCCAGGGAGGGAGCGGUGGGCUUCCCGGCGGGGCCGAGCCCCAGGCGCGGGGAGGAGCCGAGGCCCCCCCGGGGGCGGGAAAGGGAAACUUCUGAGGGGCUACUCACUGGGCUCUCGGAGAAGCGGCAGCCCCGCGCGCGGCGGGUGCUCUGCAAGCGGCGGCCGGUGCCCGCCCUCUGGGUGCCGGACACGCGGCGCCAGCCUCCGGGCGGCGGGCGGGCGGGCGGUGCCUGCGUCCGCGAAGGGAACGCGAGCCGAGACCCGCGUCUAGGCCGGCGCCGGGCUCUGCGUCCUCCCUCGGCCCCGCUCCCCGGGGGCGGGGGGGCCCGGCGGCGCUCGGUCGCCAGCUCCCGGCUGCCCCGCGGCUUUCCGCGACAUCGGCCCCGCGGCCCGUCGUCCUUGCGGGCGGUCCUUCCGAGCCCGCGGCGGAGAAAGGACCCGGCUUUCCGUGCACUCGGACUUGGGGGGCGAGAGGGGUUCCUGCGGAACCCAGGCCGUGAACCUGUUGCCCGACCGGGUUACUUACACUGGCACACACCACCCUUCUGGUUGCCAGGACGACCCCAGCCCUGGGGACGAGUUUUGCCGGUGCACCCAAAAUGUCUCCUCCGGUCCCCCAGGUUUGGGCUGUGGUGCCGCCGCGGGUUCUGUGAGCCCAGGCGUCCGGGAGCUCCCGGAUCCCAGACCGGGCGGCCCCCUCCUGCGCUCGCCGUGGUUCCAGGGUCUCGCCUCGGGACGGGAGCAGCAGAGCCUUCCUUCCAGGCGCCCCCGCCCCCCGACUCCCGUCCCCCCGCCCCUCCGCCCCCCCGCCCGGCCAAGCCGCUGGCUUUCUGCGUAGCCGGCGCCGUGACUCACCUCCUUCCUGGCUGCAGAGACCUGGUUGGCCUCAGCCCUUAG
This 1122-nucleotide long non-coding RNA is filed under the name Canis lupus familiaris (dog). Its description in RNAcentral is "lncRNA (ENSCAFG00845021809.1)". The record is from RNAcentral. Lineage: Eukaryota; Metazoa; Chordata; Mammalia; Carnivora; Canidae.